CGCGGGGCGAGGCCGCCUCCCGGGCCUGCCCGGCCGCGCAGAUGCGCCGCCUCGCCCGGAGCCUCCCGCCCGCCUUGCCGGGGACUGCGGAGCCGCCAGGGGAACACCCAGCGCCGCAUCCACCGGCGGCUCGCGGGCCGCCGUCCCGCCCUGCCAGGGUCCUGCUCUGGCCCUUGGAAAGGCAUCGCUGGCUGUGGAGCUGCUGCAGCACGCCCAAGAUCUGAGCCUGUGGAUUCAGCAUGGAGCCCUCAUCCCCAGCAGCCAGGUGGAGCAGCCCGCUGAGAAAAGGGAGCUUGGUGCGUGACUGCAAGAUUCACCAGUGCCUCUUCCGCAGCUGGUCUUGUGCAGCCUCAUUCGUCUUGACCCAGCACCUCUUCCCUGCUCACAGACAGCUGCUGAGCCUCAAGCUCUUCACUGACUGUGAAUGCAGUUGGGAACACUCUCCUCCCCCCCACUUUUAAGUUGGCUCUCAAAGCCCAUCGCAGAUGGUCUGUACCUCAUACAUAAUAAAGAUUUUUUUUUUCUUCUGAGGCGGGUUUGU
RNAcentral lists this long non-coding RNA (541 nucleotides) under Junco hyemalis (dark-eyed junco). RNAcentral's name for it is "lncRNA (ENSJHYG00000008735.1)". The record is from RNAcentral. Lineage: Eukaryota; Metazoa; Chordata; Aves; Passeriformes; Passerellidae.